UACGGGGGGGUGCGAGCGUUGUCCGGAAUCACUGGGCGUAAAGGGCGCGUAGGCGGCGCGGGAAGUCAUCGGUGAAAGUUCAGGGCUCAACUCUGAAUCGGCCGGUGAUACUCUCGUGCUUGAGCACUGUAGAGGCAGGUGGAAUUCCGGGUGUAGCGGUGGAAUGCGUAGAGAUCCGGAAGAACACCGGUGGCGAAGGCGGCCUGCUGGGCAGUAGCUGACGCUGAUGCGCGACAGCGUGGGGAGCAAACAGG
This 254-nucleotide ribosomal RNA is filed under the name uncultured bacterium. RNAcentral describes it as "partial 16S ribosomal RNA". It matches the Rfam family "Bacterial small subunit ribosomal RNA", at positions 524 to 776 of the family's 1533-position model. The record is from RNAcentral.